GAUAAACGCUGGCGGCGUGCCUAAUGCAUGCAAGUCGAACGGGAGCGCCUUCGGGCGUCGACCGUGGCGGACGGGUGAGGAGCGCGUAGCUGACCUGCCCAGGUGUGGGGGAUAGGCCUCGGAAACGGGGUGUAAGACCGCAUACGCUCAUGGUGGGGGACCGCCAUGAGGAAAGGCUUUCUUCGGAGAGUCGCGCCUGGAGGGGCUGCGUCCGAUUAGCUAGUUGGUGGGGUAACGGCCUACCAAGGCGGUGAUCGGUCGCUGGUCUGAGAGGACGACCAGCCACACGGGGACUGAGACACGGCCCCGACUCCUACGGGAGGCAGCAGCAAGGAAUUUCGCAAUGGGCGCAAGCCUGACGGAGCAACGCCGCGUG
RNAcentral lists this ribosomal RNA (376 nucleotides) under uncultured bacterium. RNAcentral's name for it is "bacterial SSU rRNA". It matches the Rfam family "Bacterial small subunit ribosomal RNA", at positions 28 to 403 of the family's 1533-position model. The record is from RNAcentral.